Molecule: ribosomal RNA, 374 nt
Filed under: uncultured organism
Description: bacterial SSU rRNA
Rfam family: Bacterial small subunit ribosomal RNA
Source: RNAcentral
CGUAGGGGGGCAAGCGUUUGUCCGGAUCAUUGGGCGUAAAGCGCGUGUAGGCGGCCAGAUAAGUCCGCUGUGAAAUCUCGAGGCUCAACUUCGAGCUGUCGGUGGAAACUGUCUGGCUAGAGUCCGGAAGAGGAGAAUGGAAAUUCCUGGUGUAGCGGUGAAAUGCGCAGAUAUCAGGAAGAACACCCGUGGCGAAGGCGGUUCUCUGGGACGGUACUGACGCUGAGACGCGAAAGCGUGGGGAGCGAACAGGAUUAGAUACCCUGGUAGUCCACGCCGUAAACGAUGGGAACUAGGUGUGGGGGGUGUCGACUCCCUCCGUGCCGAAGCUAACGCAUUAAGUUCCCCGCCUGGGGAGUACGGCCGCAAGGCUA